Molecule: ribosomal RNA, 458 nt
Filed under: uncultured bacterium
Lineage: Bacteria
Description: bacterial SSU rRNA
Rfam family: Bacterial small subunit ribosomal RNA
Source: RNAcentral
UUACGGGAGGCAGCAGUAAGGAAUAUUGGUCAAUGGGCGCAAGCCUGAACCAGCCAUGCCGCGUGCAGGAAGACGGCCCUAUGGGUUGUAAACUGCUUUUGUCAGGGAAUAAAUGAUGGUACGUGUACCAUCUUGAAGGUACCUGAAGAAUAAGCAUCGGCUAACUCCGUGCCAGCAGCCGCGGUAAUACGGAGGAUGCAAGCGUUAUCCGGAUUCAUUGGGUUUAAAGGGUGCGCAGGCGGAUUGGUAAGUCAGGGGUGAAAUCCCACAGCUCAACUGUGGAACUGCCUUUGAUACUGUCAGUCUAGAGUAUAGUUGAAGUUGGCGGAAUGUGUCAUGUAGCGGUGAAAUGCUUAGAUAUGACACAGAACACCGAUCGCGAAGGCAGCUAGCUAAGCUAUAACUGACGCUCAUGCACGAAAGCGUGGGGAUCAAACAGGCUUAGAUACCCUGGUAGA